RNAcentral lists this ribosomal RNA (35 nucleotides) under Vorticella sp. 18 PPS-2010. Its description in RNAcentral is "partial 28S ribosomal RNA". Lineage: Eukaryota; Ciliophora; Oligohymenophorea; Sessilida; Vorticellidae. The record is from RNAcentral.
ACCUGAAGUAAGCAAGGCUACCCGCUGAACUUAAG